This 477-nucleotide ribosomal RNA is filed under the name uncultured organism. RNAcentral describes it as "partial 16S ribosomal RNA". It matches the Rfam family "Bacterial small subunit ribosomal RNA", at positions 330 to 798 of the family's 1533-position model. The record is from RNAcentral.
CGUACACUCCUGCGGGAGGCAGCAGUGGGGAAUUUUGGACAAUGGGCGCAAGCCUGAUCCAGCCAUGCCGCGUGCGGGAAGAAGGCCUUCGGGUUGUAAACCGCUUUUGUCAGGGAAGAAAAGGUUCUGGCUAAUACCUGGGACUCAUGACGGUACCUGAAGAAUAAGCACCGGCUAACUACGUGCCAGCAGCCGCGGUAAUACGUAGGGUGCAAGCGUUAAUCGGAAUUACUGGGCGUAAAGCGUGCGCAGGCGGUUAUGCAAGACAGAGGUGAAAUCCCCGGGCUCAACCUGGGAACUGCCUUUGUGACUGCAUGGCUAGAGUACGGUAGAGGGGGAUGGAAUUCCGCGUGUAGCAGUGAAAUGCGUAGAUAUGCGGAGGAACACCGAUGGCGAAGGCAAUCCCCUGGACCUGUACUGACGCUCAUGCACGAAAGCGUGGGGAGCAAACAGGAUUAGAAACCCUGGUAGUCCCAU